UCAUGACAAAAUGAUUUUUAG
RNAcentral lists this non-coding RNA (21 nucleotides) under Caenorhabditis elegans. The record is from RNAcentral. Lineage: Eukaryota; Metazoa; Nematoda; Chromadorea; Rhabditida; Rhabditidae.